Molecule: transfer RNA, 67 nt
Filed under: Thyreus decorus
Lineage: Eukaryota; Metazoa; Arthropoda; Insecta; Hymenoptera; Apidae
Description: tRNA-Ala
Source: RNAcentral
UGGAUAUUAGUUAAUGAUAAUAUUUUAUUUGCAAUAAAAAGUUAUAUUUCUAUAUUUAUAUAUCUAA